GCCGGCCGAAGCGGCAGCGGCUUCGGCGCGGGACAGUAUGCGGGAACCUCUCGUGAUGCGUCCUGCCACCAUGAUGGUUCAAGCUUGUGAGGUUUGAUGACGCUGCACCAUGUAUAGUGUGGAAGAUCUCCUGAUUUCUCAUGGAUACAAACCAGCCCGAGAUGCCCCAGUGCCACGUGAGGACAAAUCAGAGCGAUGCAGGUCAAGAAGGACAGGACCCCAAGCUGGCCAAGGCCUAUUGAAUGGGUACAAGGAUGGCCCUACAGCCCAUGCCCACAGUAGGACAGCCCUAGGAACAGGACACGUGAGCAACUCUGAAAAGCACAGCAGCAAGCCAAGAGGCCACCAGGAGUACCAAAGCUCUUCUUCUAGAACUCCCGAGGCGGGGUUUUUAAGUCAACCCUCCUUAGCAUGGUCCUCUCAGCCCCAAAGUGGUAGAGACCACAUCUACUGGAGCAGAGGACAGCAGGAGGGCAGUGGCUCCCUGUGUCCCAGGGAUCAGGAAGAAGUGGAGGUCAGAAGAAUGGCUCAGGCUCACAGUCUGCCCAUUCAUGUGAGAGAGAGUCCAUGGGAAGUUGCC
Molecule: long non-coding RNA, 580 nt
Filed under: Rattus norvegicus (Norway rat)
Lineage: Eukaryota; Metazoa; Chordata; Mammalia; Rodentia; Muridae
Description: long non-coding RNA NONRATT012999
Source: RNAcentral